GUGAGGAAUUUUCCGCAAUGGGCGAAAGCCUGACGGAGCAAUGCCGCGUGAAGGAUGAAGGCCUAUGGGUUGUAAACUUCUUUUCUCAGAAAAGAAUUAUGACGGUAUCUGAGGAAUAAGCAUCGGCUAACUCUGUGCCAGCAGCCGCGGUAAGACAGAGGAUGCAAGCGUUAUCCGGAAGGAUUGGGCGUAAAGCGUCUGUAGGUUGUUUAAAAAGUAUUCUGUCAAAGAUUAGGGCUUAACCCUAGAUAGGCAGAAUAAACUUUUAAGCUAGAGUUUGGUAGAGGCAGAGGGAAUUCCCGGUGGAGCGGUGAAAUGCGUAGAUAUCGGGAGGAACACCAAAGGCGAAGGCACUCUGCUGGGCCAAUACUAACACUGAGAGACGAAAGCGAGGGGAGCAAAUGGGAUUAGAAACCCGGGUAGUCC
This 426-nucleotide ribosomal RNA is filed under the name uncultured bacterium. RNAcentral describes it as "partial 16S ribosomal RNA". It matches the Rfam family "Bacterial small subunit ribosomal RNA", at positions 354 to 796 of the family's 1533-position model. The record is from RNAcentral.